UGAGGAAUAUUGGACAAUGGGCGCAAGCCUGAUCCAGCAAUGCCGCGUGCAGGAUGAAGGCCUUCGGGUUGUAAACUGCUUUUGUACGGAGCGAAAAGGUCUGCCCUAAUACGGUGGGCUCAUGACGGUACCGUAAGAAUAAGCACCGGCUAACUACGUGCCAGCAGCCGCGGUAAUACGUAGGGUGCGAGCGUUAAUCGGAAUUACUGGGCGUAAAGCGUGCGCAGGCGGUUAUAUAGGACAGAUGUGAAAUCCCCGGGCUCAACCUGGGACCUGCAUUUGUGACUGUAUAGCUAGAGUACGGUAGAGGGGGAUGGAAUUCCGCGUGUAGCAGUGAAAUGCGUAGAUAUGCGGAGGAACACCGAUGGCGAAGGCAAUCCCCUGGACCUGUACUGACUCUCAUGCACGAAAGCGUGGGGAGCAAACA
Molecule: ribosomal RNA, 427 nt
Filed under: uncultured bacterium
Lineage: Bacteria
Description: bacterial SSU rRNA
Rfam family: Bacterial small subunit ribosomal RNA
Source: RNAcentral